AUUCUUCUCCAGAUGCCUGACAGCUCAGUGGCUUAAUAAUUAACUUUCUGGGGACUGAGACACUGUUUUUAUCCAAGAAAAAUGUGUUCAGCCUGUCCACCAAUGAGCCCUGUUGGCAGCACCAAUUUCCACAAGCAACAAUCUACAGUGAUUAUGACAGAGCAAACUGAGACAUGAAGUUAUCCACAGGCGUUCAUAAAGUAGCUGGCAGAAUUCACCUGGAGCCUGGGAAUCCUGAUGUCCAUUCCUCCAGUUAACCCACAGCACCUCUGGUCACAGUUAUCCUCUUCCUGACUAUUGGAUUAUCCCGGGAGUAUUGAAGCUCUUCUAUGAUAAGAUUGCUUUGUGUGCAGGUUCCCAGUGGUGAAAUAGCUGUACCAGCAGGAGUGUGUAACAGUGCUCUGUGGGCAUGUGGAAGACUGGAGAUUCAGCUACCUGUAGAAGUACACGAUAUUGUCAUAAUUUGAUAAGUUUCCUGGAAUUAAUCUUGCCUCUUGAAUGGAAACCUUUGGAAGUAACUUGUAUGAGACACAUGGAAAAACUUCCACUUCCUUGAAGAAACAGAGAAAAUCAGCACUACCAGGAUCUCACAGGAUGAAACCUCCUCUCACCUCUGGAAUGGAACUGUGUAAACACAAAAUUCACUGUAAGCUCUUGGCUUCUAAAACCUAAAGCAGGAUCAGCAACAUAUUGGUUAAUUUGAGAGUAUUUUGAGAACCUAGGGGACAGCACUGGCACAAGAACCUGUGGAUCAUGACAUUCCUGUGGAAUUCCCUUGGGAAAGUAGCACUUCGAACCAUCAGGUGCUGUCAGCAUGUUUGGUCCCCCACAUUUGCUGCAGUUUCUGGUGCUUUGAGAGGCUUCCUGACCUCUGCUCACUGCAGAUCUUGCACUGAAUCCCUCAUGAAGCUGCUCAUCUCAAAUCCUGCUCUUGGCACUUCUACUAAGGGAAGGGGAGCAAUGGGUAAAAAUCUUUAUUUCCCAACAGGAUUGGGACACAAACAUCUGUGGGACACCCAAGGCACUGCCAUUGUAAUGCUGAUACAAAGACAGAAGGGAAAAGUGAACUCUUUGCAUCUGGUGCAGCUGUCUGUCCAAGUGCAGCCUGACCUAGGUGGUUCUACCCCUGUUAGGACCCAGUCCUGACCUAACUGGGACACAGACCUGCCUGCUGGGCUGAUGAGAGCUGGAGCCCCUCUUCUCUCCCCCUGUUAAAUACACACCUACUCUACAGGAUUUAUCUUGGAUGUAUCAGUAAAAAUCCUCAAGCCACGUUGGCUGUUUAAAAAUAAAUAAAUAAAAAAAUCAAAUAUCCUAUCUAUUAAAAAAAAAGAGCCCAGCAGCAGCAGCAAUCUUGCAGGCAGCACAUUUUAUACAGUGACCCAAAUGCAGGGACUGUCAGUUAAUGCUCUCACACUUGCAAUAAAUCACAGUGUUUUCACUCAAAGGCAAGCAGCGUGUCCCAAAAUCUCAGAAAAAUUUAUAGUUCUCUGAAAAGCAGUAUGAAACUAAGUGUGCUUCAUGACCUCUAAAACCCACUUUUAAUGAAAGCAUUAAAUGUUCAUAAAACUACUGAACAAUGAAAUACUGUACUUAAUCCCAAAGGUUUUUUUUUUAAUAUUGGCAUUGCAAUUAAUGUCUGACACGCUAGUUAUCCAUUAGAAAGAAAUCAUUAGUAAGAGUUCUAUGUUUAACAUAACAUUAAAUACUUUUGUCAAAUUAUAUCAGAAUUAUUGAAUGCUGGGUCCAGAGAGCACUGCAAGACCUCAGAAAUGAAUAAUCAUCACAUGUUAGGAAAAAUCUAGAAUAACCUAGAAAUAUGUGAAGUAUGUGAAAAGUAGCUUUAUAUUUUGUUUUUCUAUUCAGUUCAGCAGUGGCCAGGUAAUGUUGCAAUAUUUGCAAACCAUCAGCCAUUUGCUUUACAUACUUGGUUUGAGAAAAGGAUAAUGACCUGGCUAUGUGAAUUUGUAACAGAUUGGAAUUUAAUAGUAUGACCUUCAAUUACAAAGGCUG
This is a long non-coding RNA of Neopelma chrysocephalum (saffron-crested tyrant-manakin), 2013 nucleotides long. RefSeq lists it as uncharacterized. The record is from RefSeq and is a predicted model, not a curated record. The transcript has 5 exons. Lineage: Eukaryota; Metazoa; Chordata; Aves; Passeriformes; Pipridae.